This 627-nucleotide long non-coding RNA is filed under the name Homo sapiens (human). RNAcentral's name for it is "non-protein coding ZNF503-AS2:23". Lineage: Eukaryota; Metazoa; Chordata; Mammalia; Primates; Hominidae. The record is from RNAcentral.
GUGCGCCUGCCCUCUCGGUGUCGGAGAGACGCCCUUCCACCUCUGGGAGCCUCGGUCUGUUGGGGUCGCGGAGUUCGGGCGCGGCUCCGGGUACCCGAGACCAGCGGCGGCAACUUCUAACACGGGAGAUUUCCCGCCACCCCACCCCGCCGCCGCGAGUCCUCGCGGGGCGUGUUGCGUGCGGAGAAUCGACGGGAUUUCUCUGGCUGUCGUUUGCGCUGCAUUUAUCCGAAUACAUCCAGCUCGCAGGCAUCCUGCAAGAAACGGCUCCCGGCUCGCGUGUACGCCGACACCUCGGCCCAACGCAGGACUCGAGGUGGUUUCUAGUGCCCGGGUGGCUGCAAGUCUGCCCUCCGAGGGAGGCUGGACAAGCGGCGCCCCCAGGUCGAGCGGCCUCUCGCUGCCUGGCAGUGCCUGGCAGCCCCCACCUCUGCCAGUGCUUCGGAAACCCGCCUGGCCAGGUUCGCCCGCGGUGAAAAAUGAAAGCAAAUUCCCCAACAGAGGUAGCCGGAACUUUCCUCGACGAAGGCUCCCUCCUGCGCCUGUGUCUGGAGAACCCCCAGAGCGCUGCAAGUUAGCAAGAGAGAUUCGAUGGCGGCUCUGGAAGGCGCACGAAGGGUGGGGCGG